RNAcentral lists this ribosomal RNA (254 nucleotides) under uncultured bacterium. RNAcentral's name for it is "partial 16S ribosomal RNA". It matches the Rfam family "Bacterial small subunit ribosomal RNA", at positions 524 to 776 of the family's 1533-position model. The record is from RNAcentral.
UACGUAGGUGACCAGCGUUGUCCGGAUUUACUGGGCGUAAAGAGCUCGUAGGCGGUUUGGCAAGUCGGAUGUGAAAUCUCCAGGCUCAACCUGGAGGGGUCAUUCGAAACUGCUAUGACUAGAGUUCGGUAGAGGAGUGUGGAAUUCCUGGUGGAGCGGUGAAAUGCGCAGAGAUCAGGAGGAACACCCGUGGCGAAGGCGGCUCUCUGGGACGGUACUGACGCUGAGACGCGAAAGCGUGGGGAGCGAACAGG